CAGGAUGACCUUAUCUGGCCCGCUGUCGAGCUGGUGUGGGAUGACCCUCUGAAAGUGCUGCAGCACAGAGAGAAACAGUGUAAGUGGCACACACACGUAAACCUCCAAUCAUUACUUGGAGCAUGUAAUCGGCACAGUAAUUGUUUCAAUAUCUGGGUGUGGCGGAGGUUCGUCCCUUGAGCUAACAGUAGAAAUGAGAACUGCUUGCAUGACAUGUGAUGUGGAACUCAUGGAGAUGUACCUGUAACAUUCCCUCCAUGUCCAGCUGGAUGAGUUCAGUCUGGUUCAUCUGAAGGAUGGCCAGUCCCACACGGAAAACUAUCUCCAGACCCUGAAAAGAGAGCAACAGUUCUCACUGAGGAGCCAUCUUAAGUAAAACACUCAGACACGUUUUCUAAAGUGGACUGAGAGUUAAAGGUCUGUUCGAUCAGGUUACAUAGGAAUGGUGAAACAACUCAAGAGUAACUACUGAAUGUGGUGCUGUUUUUCUCCAACAGGUGGUGCUAAUGGAUUACCUUUACAUGACAGCUAACUUAAUGCAAUCUACCAAUGAAGCCUCCCUCAAAGCAGAAGAAAAAAUGUCAACCUUGCAUCUUUUGAAGUGAAAACACUUUUCUUUUGUGCACUGUCCCUUUAAAAUGUGCAGGAUAAUAUUCAAUCAUAGACCACAAACUCAAAAAGACAGGCAAAAGUACAUUAGGUGUAAAAGACAAAGCGCAUUCUUCUAGAGCAGUGGUUCAUACCGCUGUGCUGCAGCGAGCACUCUCCAGGUCUGCCGUAGAAUCUUUUUUUGAUGUCCCAAUUUUUUUUCUCACUUAAUUAACUUCACUUCAUAUAACUUUAUCUUAUUAGUUGUACAAUGGAGUUGAUAAGCUAAUAAAAUGUAUAUAUUGCUCAGAUUUUGAAAUAUUAAAUUGAAUAUAGCCUCAUACGGACUGCUUAAAUUCUCAUGACCUAUGUCUGCCGUCAUUGUUUACGGCGUGCAAGGAGCAGCUUUUUAUCCUCGCGCCAAAACAUUACAAGAUGGAUCGUUAUGUAGUGACAAUAAAUAAAGAAGCACCCCAGCCCUAACACAGGCAGAGAGGGCAGAACAUGAUGGAACAGCAGUGCAAAAGAAGUCUAAAAGCAGACAGCACAGCGAAUGCUUUCUGCCCAACGCCAUCGAUUGAUAUUCGAUUGGCUCCGGGAUCCGUUUAAUCCUCUCUCAUUAUUAUCAGCCACCAUUUUAAACAGCAGAGCUCAGGAAGAACUCGCAGAGCUAUGUAUUGACCGUUCCCUGACACUGAAACAUGGUGAACUACGUCUGGAUAUCUUUUGGCUGCUUGUGGGACACGAUAUCCAUCCCUCUCAGAGAGUGCCAUUAACGUGCUUUUACAGUUUCCUACCUCCUACUUGUGCGAGCUGGCGUUUUUCCUCACUCGCAUAUGUCAAAAACAAGACCCGCCCGGCUGUCAGGGGAACAGGACCUCCGCGUUGCACUGUCCACUCUCCCCCUGCGCAUAGAGAGACUCUGCUCCCAAAAGUAGGCACUAACAUGUGCAUAACAUAGCUUUAUUUUGUUUUGCUGUUAGAACGGAUUAUUCUGUUAUAAUUAUUAUUUAUUUGAAGUUAUCAUAGGCCUACCUCUUUUGUAAUCCAAAUGUAAAAUAAUGACUCAUGGAAUCCUUGUUUUUACACAGGAAGGCCUACUAUUUUCAGCCAAAACUAAAGAGCCUACUGUACACCUGUUUUUCAUAUUUCAAUCAUCACACUAAGGAUGACUUAUAUUUGAUUAUUUGUUCUAUAGAAUGUGCUGGUGUGGUUUUUAAAUCUACGCAAAGUUGGUGUGCCUUAGGGUCGAGAAAUAUUUUCAGGGGUGCCUUGGUAAAAAAAAGGUUGGGAACCACUGUUCUAGAGAGUAUAAAUAAAUAGAUGUCUGAAGUAGAUUCAUAAUGUCGUUCAUAGAAGGUUUGAACUUCCCGUCAACUGACCUCACACAUGAAGAUGUCAAAGAUCCUGGUGGCAACGGGCAGAGGGAAGGAGGUGAGGAAGAUGGUGAGGAACCAGGAGGAGGCGUACAUGGAGGUGUGGAAACUCUGAGCCUGGAAAUGUAUAUGCAGCUCCGGGAGUUGUUCCUGAGAGGCAGAGAUCAUAUGGAUUCACGCCGUUUACUUCAAAACUAGAAAAAACUUUUACUACCAAGCAUGAGGUGUCUACCUGGAUCAUGGACUCAAACUGGUACAUGCAGAGACCCAGCUCUGCCAUGCUGGGCUUGAAGAGCUCUCGUAAUCUGUAGUCUUGCAUCAACUUCACAAACACGCAGAACGCCUCCUCUUCUGGCAUCUGGGGAAGAAACAGGAUGAAAUCAAACCUCUGAAUUUGUCACAAAAAACAUGAACAAGGUAUUUGCUAGUGAAUCAAUGUGUGUGUGUGUGUGUGUGUGUGUGUGUGUGUGUGUGUGUGUGUGUGUGUGUGUGUGUGUGUGGUGAAGAUUGGAUUGUUACCUGCAUGAGUAGCAGUCCUACAAUGAAUGCACUCCCUUGACAAUAGCCAACCUCACGGUCAACCAGAGAAUAUGCCUGAGGUGACAGAUAGCUUUGGGUGAGUCUCAUUGUUGCACACACUUCAUUAUGGAUGUGAAAGCCAAACACCUUUUUGGGAACAUCAUUUAACAACCAGGUUCCUCAAACUGAAAAUUGUACCUUCAUGACGUUGAAGAGCACUUCCUGACCCAAGCUGUCUUUCUCUUUGAAGAAUUCGUGUUCGGGGUAAGUGCGUGCGAUGUCUCUGCGAAUCAGCUUCUCGCAGGGCGACGUCAUCUUCAGGAGUUCCGAGUAUUGAUCCUUGAUGGGCAUAUUCUGGGCUGUGCACAACAACUGCCACACUAUUGCCCGGAAGUGGUGAGGAAUCCCUUUUCUGACAAGAUCCUGAAGGAAAAGAUCAUAAUAGAUAGACUUGGUGCAUCUGCUCAACCCAGGGUGCAUCUGGAGCAGAGGUCCACCCACGCAGGCUUCCAGCAGGGAUCUCCCCUCCCCUCUCAGAGGUUCUCCGUUUCCACACGAGCAACAAGCAAGUGAACGCAUUACAGAGAAAGGCGUUAUCACGGGGUUUCACCAAACAGUUCAGUGUGUCACCAUGACUGUGGAUCUGCCGAACAAUAAUUCUCCCCGUUAGAGAGCAAUAAUAAUCUUCAGGUUUGACUUGACCUUAAUGACCUGCGCAUCACAAUCAAUUCCACAGCAGCACCAAGCAAACGCACAUAAACUGUGACUGCCAUGACUCUUUUGGUGAACACGAUGUUAUCCAACAGAGAAAUGAACAGGAUUUGUGUUUUUCCACUUGUCCAUUGACAGUCAUUUAUGACAGCACAGGUCUACCGCAAGUCCUCGGAGAGUAACUGUAGAAACAAGCAAGCUAAAAUUAACUUCAAAUGUCAAGCACUAAAAAAACACUGCAGUGUCACCUACAACAGAUAGCCUUCGAAUGUAUUUCUGGACCGAGUAAACAUUCAAACAGAUUUGACCACUGUAGCAUUCAGGCCAGCAGUUGAAACAAAAGUGGUAAAACAUAUGCAUCACAAGACUUUGUUCUAAAGUCUAAACAAAUGCUCAUCCAGAAACAGCCUAUGAGAAUCUUUUCUCUAUUUCUUUUAGACCAGGACUAUUUAUUUCAGUCGCAUUCAUUUUUUCCUAUCAUUCAUGAAAUGACUGCAUUAUCCUAGUUUCCAGCAGAUGGCUGGCACAGCUUUAAGCUCUUAAUGCUAUAAGCAGGGCUGCACAGACUCUGCUGUCACCUCACAGGUAGCCCCGCUCUCACCUUAAGCUGCUUCUCUUUCUUCUUGCGCACAUCCUCCCACUCGUUGACGAUUCGUCCCCACAGGAUCCACGUAUCCUCCUCCAGGUGGGAGAGGUUGGAUGAGGCGGAGGAGCUGGACACCAGCGAGGAGCCGCUGUUCCUCCUGGAGCCGUUCAUGGAGCGCAGAGACUUGCUGUCGGUCUCCAGCAGCCUGCAGGGAAGGGAAGAUGGACGGUUAUCACUGUGCAGAGACAACAACAUCUCUUUACCAAUACGUCUACAAGCAAGGCAUGUUUGUUUCAAGCGUUCAUCAGAAUCUGUGUCUCUUCAUUAAAGACACAAAUCACGGACGCAUAGUCAAAACAUUAAUAUACUCUAAAUGGAAUUAUAUGAAUGUCUUUCUUUUCCUUGAGUAACACAUUCAGGCUUGUAAUACAAACUGUACGUUGUUUAAGUCCUUUAGAAACUAGAUCCUGCUGUAUUAUUGUCCCUUUUGGUAUUUGGAAAUAUCAGAGUAAGUGUACAUUUAAUUGAAAUUGAACAUAUGCAAGAACAACAUUCUGAAAACCAGUAUGUCAAAAUAAAGUGGGAGAAGUUGGGUUUGAAAUAUUUUUAACAAACACAGUUUGUCUGAAAUCUGAAUCUGUUUCCGGGAGAUAAAAUAGAGAUCCAGAUAACUUGUUCCACGCUGAUUUGACCUCCAAACAAGACCAAGUACAACCGAUUGCAUUGGUUUACCCUCACAUGACCUUAACCAUUCAAAGGCAAAAUGCAAAAACAGAAGGCAGACAAACUUCAAACUGUGAUUGCUCAAACACAAUCCACAGAAAAUCUAAUGAAAGCUGCCCACGUUUUAGGAUGGUGCUUUAAAAUGAUGAGACCUUCUUUGAAAACGUACAGCAUUACUUUACACAUGAUGAGUCUGCAGACAAUUAUUUCCCCUCUCAAGAUGUGUUAAGUCUUACAUGUCAGAUCUGAUUAAAGAAUUGCUCGACAAAGAAUAAAUGACACUAUUAGUGGAAAAACUAUAAAACAGCUUGACCAACAACAUAAAUAAAUAAUAAUAAACAACAGGAGCUAAAGUAAAUACAAGUAAGCAGAGAGAAUCCUCUUCAUUUAAAUCUCAGUUACUACAGGUUGGUACUGAUAUAAAUGGAACAAUGAAUGACUUUACAGAAAGGGAUAUAAAACACUUAAAGGAAGGGGUGUUGGCACUGGCUGAAACUUUGAAUGUCUGAAAGAACUACAACAGGUCUGAUGUGAAAGCAACAACGAAUAUUGAAGGUCUUGUAAACACUCAAAGUCUGCAUUUGAAGUGCAUUGUGGGGGAUGAACCGCUCCACCAAUGUGUUUCUCAGCAGGUCAAUCGGUGUCACCCUUAUCAGUUUGGCAGUGGAAUUACUGACAGACUGACCCAAUCAAGGAUCAGUGUGCAGAGACAAGAGGCUGCGGCUCCCGACCUGUGUGGUGGCACCGAAGAGCCGGUGACAGACACACAAAGGCUCAGACACCUGAUCUCGGAAAAAAGCCUGGGCCUCUGCCGGAGCACCAUGACGUCAGCCAGGGUGCUCCCAGAAAGGCUUAGGGUUACAGCCAAAUGUGGGGGGUGUGGAGGAGGGAGUGAAAUGGACUCCCAGAAAGACCGGUGCUGCUACACUUCUAUUCAGCUCUGAUGUAAAGCUGAAAGUGAUUCAAAAGUAACAUCUUACAGAGAGAAUUUGGAAGGAGUUUCCACUUUAUUUCAGUUAUUCGGUCACAAACGGCUGAGUUACACAUGGACCUGAACACAGCGAGAGCUCUGCUAAUAAUUCACCAGUGGUCAAACAGAAGUUAGAAGCCUCAAAAAUACAAAAACUAAAAACCGAACAGAAUUAACUAUAGUAAAGCAAUGUUUGCUGUGAUUAAAAAGGUACGUUUGAAGACAAUUUUAAACUACAUGCUACACAAUUAAAGGUACAAUCUCUUUAAAUUGUGUCACUCUCAGUAUGACUUCUAUUCGCAGUGCACAACAGCAACAGAACAGGCCUAUAACUGAUCAAAACAAACCUUACCAAGAAAAACUCAUGAUGUAUUCCUCAUAUUUCUGGUUUCUAGGAAUUCUGGAGCAGUAAUGGCAUGUCUGAAAUGUUGUAGCAGUCAGCCGGGGACUUCCUCGUCUGUGUGACACUAUUGAACGAACGCUCGUACCUUUUAUCUGCUCUGCAGGGUACAAAGGCCUAACCAAACACACAAACACUUGGUAAGCAAGUGCGGGGCUCUUCACAGUGGGUUGCUCACGUGCUACAGGUUGCUUUAGUAUCAGUGUGGCAGCAGAGAAAUUGAGUCUUGUGAAAGAGCCCCACUAUAUGUUGGGUUGGAGGGCAGGGUCAGAGGGCAUAUGAACUAUGAGCCCCUUGACAUUGUGACUUCUGUCACCAGAGCUUCAUGAAUGAAGUUAGGGACAAAAUGAAACAUUUCCCUGGUUAGUUCUGAUCUCCACUAAUGAGGGAAAGAGUCACUUGGCAUUCUGGAGCAGUGGCAGUUGUGGGCGUACCGAUGAGUCAUGACAUUUAACAGAGAUUUGCUUUCUACAUCCCUCUAGUUAACUGUGACACAAUCCUGAACUCUGAACCGUUUGCUUGGUUUCCAUGCUGACACACUGAACUAGCCUUUGGGGAAAGACAAAACGGAGGAAGAAUUGGCAGGAGAACAGUCUUGCAUCACCUUUUAACCCUCCUGUUACAUUCAGGGUCAAACUGACCCGUUUUAAAGUUUGAAA
Long non-coding RNA from Eleginops maclovinus (Patagonian blennie), 6532 nucleotides. RefSeq lists it as uncharacterized. The record is from RefSeq and is a predicted model, not a curated record. NCBI's taxonomy places the organism in Eukaryota, Metazoa, Chordata, Actinopteri, Perciformes, Eleginopidae. The transcript is spliced from 3 exons.